AACGAACGCUGGCGGCAUGCCUAACACAUGCAAGUCGAACGAGACCUUCGGGUCUAGUGGCGCACGGGUGCGUAACGCGUGGGAACCUGCCCUUAGGUUCGGAAUAACUCCCCGAAAGGGGUGCUAAUACCGGAUAAUGUCUUCGGACCAAAGAUUUAUCGCCUUUGGAUGGGCCCGCGUUGGAUUAGCUAGUUGGUAGGGUAAAAGCCUACCAAGGCGACGAUCCAUAGCUGGUCUGAGAGGAUGAUCAGCCACACUGGGACUGAGACACGGCCCAGACUCCUACGGGAGGCAGCAGUGGGGAAUAUUGGACAAUGGGCGAAAGCCUGAUCCAGCAAUGCCGAGUGAGUGAUGAAGGCCUUAGGGUUGUAAAGCUCUUUUACCCGGGAUGAUAAUGACAGUACCGGGAGAAUAAGCUCCGGCUAACUCCGU
This 432-nucleotide ribosomal RNA is filed under the name uncultured bacterium. RNAcentral's name for it is "partial 16S ribosomal RNA". It matches the Rfam family "Bacterial small subunit ribosomal RNA", at positions 29 to 506 of the family's 1533-position model. The record is from RNAcentral.